GUCUACAGCCAUGCCACCCUGAAUGGACAUGAUCUCCUCUGAUCUUGGAAGCUAAGCAGGGUCGGGCCUUGUUAGUACUUGGAUGGGAGACAGUCUGGGAAUACCGGGUGCUGUAGACC
Molecule: ribosomal RNA, 119 nt
Organism: Cercocebus atys (sooty mangabey)
Lineage: Eukaryota; Metazoa; Chordata; Mammalia; Primates; Cercopithecidae
Source: Ensembl